AGCGAGGUUGAGAGGUUUUGCUACUGGAAUGCUCGCUGGGGACUCGCUAGAGCUUCGCCUAGCGAGUGAGUGCUGGCUGCGCUUUUCACCAAAACAGAAUGAACUCGCUACCACCUUCGCCUUCAGCUCGCCUGGCGAAUUAAUUUGUCAAUUUACUGGAGCUUUUCGCCUGGAGCUCGCCUAGCGAAGCAGUGCUUCGCCACAGCCUCGCCUAGCGAGCAGGCUGAUGAAAUGCUUGUAUUCUUUGGUUCCUUUGCCAAUUUUCUUGUGUCUUCAUUUUCAAUUAGUUCAUGCCUUUUUCCUGCACAAUAACACACAAAUCAAAGGCACCAAGCUUGUUUAUCAAUGUAAUGCAUUCCAUGUAAAACAAAUGUGGUUUUGACAAUUUUAGCAAGGAAAAAGAGUGAAAGAUGCCCACAUAUGAUAGCUCAAAUAAGCACUUUUGGGCAUCUAA
This 454-nucleotide long non-coding RNA is filed under the name Lathyrus oleraceus (garden pea). RNAcentral describes it as "Pisum sativum (pea) long non-coding RNA (PSAT_LNC029042)". Lineage: Eukaryota; Viridiplantae; Streptophyta; Magnoliopsida; Fabales; Fabaceae. The record is from RNAcentral.